GAUGAAGAACGCAGCGAAAUGCGAUAAGUAGUGUGAAUUGCAGAAUUCAGUGAAUCAUCCAAUCUUUGAACGCACAUUGCGCCCCUUGGUAUUCCAUGGGGCAUGCCUGUUCGAGCGUCAUUUGUACCUUCAAGCUUUGCUUGGUGUUGGGUGUUUGUCUCGCCUUUGCGUGUAGACUCGCCUUAAAAUAAUUGGCAGCCGGCGUAUUGAUUUCGGAGCGCAGUACAUCUCGCGCUUUGCACUCAUAACGACAGCGUCCAAAAGUACAUUUUACACUCUUGACCUCGGAUCAGGUAGGGAUACCCGCUGAACUUAAGCAUAUCAAUAAGCGGAGGA
This 336-nucleotide unclassified non-coding RNA is filed under the name soil metagenome. Its description in RNAcentral is "partial contains 5.8S ribosomal RNA, internal transcribed spacer 2, and large subunit ribosomal RNA". The stretch from base 1 to 120 matches the Rfam family "5.8S ribosomal RNA", at positions 35 to 154 of the family's 154-position model. The record is from RNAcentral.